This 332-nucleotide ribosomal RNA is filed under the name uncultured Phaselicystis sp. RNAcentral's name for it is "bacterial SSU rRNA". It matches the Rfam family "Bacterial small subunit ribosomal RNA", at positions 568 to 898 of the family's 1533-position model. The record is from RNAcentral. Lineage: Bacteria; Pseudomonadati; Myxococcota; Polyangiales; Phaselicystidaceae.
CGUGUAGGCGGCUUGGCAAGUCGGUUGUGAAAGCCCGGGGCCCAACCCCGGAACUGCAUCUGAAACUGCCUGGCUAGAGUCCCGGAGAGGAAGGCAGAAUUCCCGGUGUAGGGGUGAAAUCCGUAGAUAUCGGGAGGAAUACCAGCGGCGAAGGCGGCCUUCUGGACGGUGACUGACGCUGAGACGCGAAAGCGUGGGGAGCAAACAGGAUUAGAUACCCUGGUAGUCCACGCCGUAAACGUUGAGUGCUAGGUGUCGCGGGUAUUGACCCCUGCGGUGCCGUCGUUAACGCAUUUAGCACUCCGCCUGGGGAGUACGGUCGCAAGGCUAAA